Molecule: long non-coding RNA, 227 nt
Organism: Rosa rugosa (rugosa rose)
Lineage: Eukaryota; Viridiplantae; Streptophyta; Magnoliopsida; Rosales; Rosaceae
Exons: 2
Source: RefSeq, a predicted model, not a curated record
CAAAGUUGAUGAGGACCCUGCAAAAAAAAUUUGCAGAGAAAGAGAAGAAGACAAUGGAAGGAACAUACAAGGGUCUGUGUGGUCAUAGGAUUUGGACCUUCUGCGCUUGUUCCAUGCUGAGACUAAACCGAAAGGCAUUACACAUAACUUGAUGGAGAAGGUUGGUGCUGUGAUACUUCUCACAGAUUAGUGUGCAAGGUCGACUAUCAAUCUAUCAUGAAAGGUGA